AUUUAACAAUUGGAUCUUUUUACAAUAGAUUUUGCAAUUUUGACUAUCAUUGUUGUUUAAUUUAUUUAUUUUCAGGUACCCCUGCCAGAAGGACAGGAGCGCCGAGUCGUUGGAAUCGUCAGGAGUCAUCACGGGCAGGCGCCUGUAGUGUGUUGGCUGUGAUUUGUUGUGGCCGCUGGAGGAGCGCCGCUUGCAACGAGCUCGUCCCGGUCGGUGUUGCAAGCAGUUGAAUAAGUUUUGAAGAAGCUAGAAUCCCGCGCAGCCGUCAUUGGGAUGUAAUGGAGCUGCUGUCAACAUGGUGGUGGAAACGAAGGUUGCACGGUGCGCCGCGUCCUGUGGCCAUUGCGUCGGGACUGGCAGCUAGGAGCUUCCAGAUCAGGAAAAGUUGCCGAGGACCGCCGCAUCGGAAGAGGUCAUGGUGUUUCAGGAUGUUCCGGGUCAAGGAUUGUUGUCGGGGACCGUAGCAGCGAUUUGGGCCAUGGAAAUGAAUGUAAAGAUAAAUUUUAGGGGCCCAGGCUGAACGAUAUUUGGAGGUAGGCUGUUCUGAAGGUGCGUUUGUAGCAGCUAAUUUAGAGGCCGUCGUAGCUGUGAUGCCGUGGUUUUUGGGUUCUUCAAGCUUGCGAUUAAUAUGGAGGUGA
Molecule: long non-coding RNA, 638 nt
Organism: Drosophila sechellia
Lineage: Eukaryota; Metazoa; Arthropoda; Insecta; Diptera; Drosophilidae
Exons: 4
Source: RefSeq, a predicted model, not a curated record